CUCAAUGAAAAUUAAAUAGCCGCAAAUAUAUUUGUGCUAAGGUAGCAUAAUCAUUUGUUUUUUAAUUAAAAACUAGAAUGAAAGAUUUAACAUUUUUAUUUCUUUCUUACUUAUACAAAUUCAAAUUAUUCCAAAUAUAAAAAAAUAUUUAUCAAUUAAAAAGACGACAAGACCCUAUUGAACUUAACUUAAGUUUAACUGGGGAAGUUAAUUAAAUAUAAUUUUAAUUUUUAAAAAAAAACACCUAAUACAAUUAAAUAAUCAAGUUACCAUAGGGAUAACAGCGUAAUAAUUUUUUAUAGAUCUUAUUCAAAAAAUUGUUUGCGACCUCGAUGUUGAAUUAAUAAUCAAUUAAAUGCAAUAAUUUAAAAUAGAAAGUCUGUUCGACUU
Molecule: ribosomal RNA, 390 nt
Filed under: Flexicoelotes jiaohanyanensis
Lineage: Eukaryota; Metazoa; Arthropoda; Arachnida; Araneae; Agelenidae
Description: partial 16S ribosomal RNA
Source: RNAcentral